This 468-nucleotide ribosomal RNA is filed under the name uncultured bacterium. RNAcentral's name for it is "partial 16S ribosomal RNA". It matches the Rfam family "Bacterial small subunit ribosomal RNA", at positions 28 to 507 of the family's 1533-position model. The record is from RNAcentral.
GACGAACGCUGGCGGCGUGCUUAACACAUGCAAGUCGAACGGUGAAGCUCCAGCUUGCUGGAGUGGAUCAGUGGCGAACGGGUGAGUAACACGUGAGCAACCUGCCCCUGACUCUGGUAUAAGCGCUGGAAACGGCGUCUAAUACUGGAUACGAGAAGGGUCCGCAUGGGCACUUUCUGUAAAGUUUUUCGGUUGGGGAUGGGCUCGCGGCCUAUCAGCUUGUUGGUGAGGUAAUGGCUCACCAAGGCGACGACGGGUAGCCGGCCUGAGAGGGCGACCGGCCACAAUGGGACUGAGACACGGCACAGACUCCAACGGGAGGCAGCAGUGGGGAAUAUUGCACAAUGGGCGAAAGCCUGAUGCAGCGAAGCCGCGUGAGGGAUGACGGCCUUCGGGUUGUAAACAUCUUUCAGCAGGGAAGAAGCGAAAGUGACGGUACCUGCAGAAGAAGCACCGGCUAACUACGUG